RNAcentral lists this transfer RNA (64 nucleotides) under Gigantometra gigas. Its description in RNAcentral is "tRNA-Ile". The record is from RNAcentral. Lineage: Eukaryota; Metazoa; Arthropoda; Insecta; Hemiptera; Gerridae.
AAUAAGAUGCCUGAUUAAAGGACUAUUUUGAUAGAAUAGAUAAUGUAAAUAUUUACUCUUAUUA